Molecule: non-coding RNA, 3481 nt
Organism: Camelina sativa (false flax)
Lineage: Eukaryota; Viridiplantae; Streptophyta; Magnoliopsida; Brassicales; Brassicaceae
Source: RefSeq, a predicted model, not a curated record
AGAGAGAGAGAGAGAGAGAGAGAGAGAGAGAGAGAGUUCUUCGCAGCAACUAGAGAAAGGAUCCAAAGGGAUCGCAUUGAUCCUAAUUAAGCUGAUUUAUCACAAACCCCAAAACUUUGCUUUCUUUUCCGGAUCAUGCGAUCUCUUUGGAUUCAUCCUUUGGUAGCUUCUACUUAGGUCAGAGGGUUUUCAUAACCAGAGGCUUCACCGGCAGGAGAUUCUUCGUGGGUCGAUCAAGUUCACAAAACUUUGUUCCUCCUACAAGUAAGUUUCAAAGAUUGAUGAUACAUGCCAAAUAAACAACAACCAUUUUUUUGUAUUUAAAAAAAAAAAUAGACUAGUUUUGUUCCCUUCUUUCUUUCCUAACAUUUUAGUCAUUUGUUAAUUUUUGGCAUUGAUUUGCUUCGUUCUUUUUGUUGUUGUUUUGCAUUGAUUUCCUUGUAAAAAUAAAAGUUUCUUUUUCUUUUUCUUAAUCCUCUAAACAUAUAAUACAUAGCAUUAAAAAUGAUACACCCUGAAUAAUUUUCUUUAUAGAACUAUAUAUGUCAACAGAUUACUGAACUUGAUCUCCAAAUCACAGAUGACGAAGUGCUUGGAUCCAGUAAAUGAGAUCCGGUCCAUUUUAACUUUAUCAUUUGUGUUGAAAUCAAGAUUAGAAAGAUAAUUCAGAAUAUUAGUGUUAACUGUUAACUAUAAUAAGUAUAUAACCAUGAAAAAUGGGUGAAAUACAAUGCUUCCUUUUUCUUGAUUAUUCUUUUCAGAAAAGAAAAAUAAUAUAUAUCCUUUUCUGACUAUAGAGACUAGCUCGUUUUCGAAAAGGAAAAAAAUAAAAUCUAAUAUUUCACAAAUUUUUUAUUAGUUUUAAGAAACGACAACUAUCGUAUCUAUACACUAUGUAGGGAAUAAAAUAAAAAAGCAUUCAAUUGAUUGAUAAAGUAGUACUGUAUAGUGUGCGUACUAUAUAGUUCUACUUCUAUUAUUAUGUCUCUGUUUAAUUUUUCAACCUCCUCCGUCUAAUACAAACUUCUUUGGAAAAAUAGUUUGAAACACUAUCAAAUGCAAAAGAAAAGAAAAAACUAGAUUCCAUUUGGGACAGUGUAAAGAAAGAGAAUAGUGAAGUUUUGGUGUAGUCUAUAAAUUAUAAGGCUACGGUUGCUGUAUUUAAAAUGAAAAUAUUUGUGACCAUUGGUACCAAAUUUUUCUUCUAAUUAUUCGAUGCUUUGUGAAAGUGUAAAAGAGACUUCCAAUACAAUGAUUUGUCUUCCUCUUAUUGGGAAAAAUGCUAACUUUUAACUAUAAAGUAAUUAAUAGAUAAUGAUAUUCACUGUGUUAAAGCCUUCUUUUCUCCACUGAUCCCUAUUAAAAGGAUUUCAGCCACUUAUACUAUUUUUUUUUCCACCAUGGGUCAACCUUUUUUAUUCGAUCUAAGAUCUCGAUCAAUGUCAAAAUGCAUGUAAUACUUUCUUUUUAUUUUUUUUAAUGAAAAAUGUCUAAUGCUUUAUUCUGUUAAAAAAACUAUAGUAUAUUUUCAUUUUAUGUAAAUUUUAUGUUAAUAUAAACAAAACAAAUGCAAGAAAAUACUAAAUACUAACAAAUUCUUAUACGCUUAAAAAAAAAAUCCACACCAACUACUUAUGUCUAGUAGGGAUUAAAAUGCAAACAGCGAAACAUUAAAUUAUGUACAAAAGAUCAAAAAGUAAGAACCUUUUGUUGCAAUCAACAGCAUGGCUAUGAGACAUAACUUGGUAUACAAGAAGCAAAAUGAUGUAGUCGCAUAGUUAGUUAGAAUGUUGUAUAUUCUAAUUAAGUAGUGUUUCUUAUAUAGUGGUUCGGUCACUCUCUACAUUCAAGUUAUGUCGGUUACUCUCUACAUUCGAGUUCAUUGUUACGUCGUUCAAUGUUUUUAUUGCUCUAAAAUACAGAUGUAUCUUCAUUUCUCCAGAUUCCUUGUUUUAGAUGGGUUUACUAAGAAAAUUGUUAGGUGAUGUGAUGGUUAUGAUUCAUGAAUCAUGAUAGAUGUGAGGAUCAAUAUAAUAAAAUUACGAUGUUUAUCACCAUGACACAUCAGCCUUAACUUUUAAGCAUGUGUUGACACCUUAGUAAAAAUUUCUACCCUAUCAAAUUAUAACAAUUAAUACACAUCAGCCUUUUUUUUUAUCUUAGGUGGACAAAUAAUAGUCUUCUUCAUUGUUAAAAUUGAUCGUUCUUCUUCUUCUUUUUAUGAAUUUGUCAAUAGAUUUGAGUACUUAACCUCCGAACAAAAUCAUGGAACAUCUCGAUUACAACUUUUUAUUUUUAACGCGAUUUGGAAUUCUUCUCAAGUUGGAGCGUAAUAUUCAUCUUUCUGAUGAGAAUCAACUUUCUGAUGGGAAUCAAUUCGGCUCGUGAGGAUCUACAAGUCUACCUAGAAUAAUGUUGCGGCGGUGGCGGAUGAAGAAGCUGCGGAGGUUGUGAGUAAAUUAUAACAAGCUUCAUAGCAUCCAUUGGAUCGAGUUGAUUUGUCUGGUCGGAAACUAAAACUCAAGCAUGUGAAAAGUUUCAAGGCUAUGUUUGAUUGCACGGCUCUUGCAAUAUUAAAGAGAGAUCAUUGGUCACAGACAAUAGCAAGAUCAAAGAGCCUUGUGAAGCAGAUGUUGGAACCUGAUCCCACUAAGUGUUCGACUCCUCAGCAAGUUUUUGGUAAUGAAAUGAUUUUUAACUCAUUUUUUCCUUAUUCAGCUUGUUUUUUCUUCUGUUGGGUUUGAAGUUGUGAAACAGAAUGAUAAGCUCCAAAUGUUCUUUUACCCAGAAGAAUCUUGUUAAGUUGUUUGGAUCCAAUUGGUUAUGUCAACAGAGUGUUUUGCAUUUUGAAAAUUUCUUGUUUGGUAUCCGUUAAGCUUCAAUUGUAUCAUAGUAUGAAGAUUCGAACUAUCAAGUUUUAUGGCAUUUUGUUUGACUAACAAGUUUGAUGAAUUCCAUUGUUGUUUUUGUUUUACAGAUAUGAAUGUACAAUGAAAUGUUGCUGAUCUUUCGUUAUACAUACGAAAACCGGUCAUGUUAUUGAAUGAGUAUGUUUAAGCCAACACUCACUCUCUCUUCAAAUCACUGUAUCCUUUUGCAGGAAGAACAACAGGUUCUAGAAGCCAAAAUAAGGAUAUGGUAGAAGGAAAUGCAGGAUGAUGAAGAGAAAAUGCAGAAACGUCUGGAAUCAUGUUCCUCUAGCACACGUGCAAUGACUAGCGAAAUGGAAUAUGGUUCAGCUUCAGGUCGGUUUAUUUGCCUUGCAAGAACGUAUCAGGAACAUCACAAAGGCAGUUUUGACAGACUUCGUUUUUAAAUUAGAGAAAGAAGAGAUGUUGGUACUAAGAUAGCAAUCAUUACUGUAUUUCGCUUCACUAUUAUAUCUGUAAUUUAUUUUUUGUUGCCUUUUUUGUGUAACUUGCUGUGUGCAAUUGUACCUCAGUACCUGUUGAGUUUACAAAUAACCUUCCUCUAUUUAACA